AUUGAACGCUGGCGGCAUGCCUUACACAUGCAAGUCGAACGGCAGCACGGGUGCUUGCACCUGGUGGCGAGUGGCGAACGGGUGAGUAAUACAUCGGAACAUGUCCAGUAGUGGGGGAUAGCCCGGCGAAAGCCGGAUUAAUACCGCAUACGCUCUAUGGAGGAAAGCGGGGAUCGAAAGACCUCGCGCUAUAGGGGUGGCCGAUGGCGGAUUAGCUAGUUGGUGGGGUAAAGGCCCACCAAGGCGACGAUCCGUAGCUGGUCUGAGAGGACGACCAGCCACACUGGGACUGAGACACGGCCCAGACUCCUACGGGAGGCAGCAGUGGGGAAUUUUGGACAAUGGGCGAAAGCCUGAUCCAGCAAUGCCGCGUGUGUGAAGAAGGCCUUCGGGUUGUAAAGCACUUUUGUCCGGAAAGAAAUCCCUGGUCCUAAUAUGGCCGGGGGAUGACG
RNAcentral lists this ribosomal RNA (452 nucleotides) under uncultured bacterium. RNAcentral describes it as "bacterial SSU rRNA". It matches the Rfam family "Bacterial small subunit ribosomal RNA", at positions 29 to 474 of the family's 1533-position model. The record is from RNAcentral.